GUGACUAGUGCAAUGGCUUGUGAGCAUAUGGUAAGAGGCGGUGACCUCAUGAUCCUCAUCUAUUGCAGUGAUUGCCUCCACAUCUCUUUAAAAUUGUUGAUUGAUUUGUAUCUACGGAGAGCCUCUUUUUCUUAUCAGCCUUUCUUUUAUUAUCUUUCCGUAUGUCCUUACAAAGAUGGAAACAAAAAAAUCAGCAAAAAGUUUCUUUUGUAAAAACCAGGAUAUCUUAACCCCCUAAAAU
This 241-nucleotide long non-coding RNA is filed under the name Capsella rubella. Its description in RNAcentral is "long non-coding RNA (CRUB_LNC004304)". The record is from RNAcentral. Lineage: Eukaryota; Viridiplantae; Streptophyta; Magnoliopsida; Brassicales; Brassicaceae.